UGUUGCAGUUAACGCUCGUAGUCGGAUUUUGGUGCGCGCCGGGCUGUGCGCGUAGUGCGUGCGGCGCGGGGCGUGCUUUUGUGGAGGGCGGCCGCUCGUGGCUUUGCUGUUGCGGGUGUGUCGGCGCCACCGUUUACUGUGAAAAAAUUAGAGUGUUCAAAGCAGGCGUUUGCCGUGAAUACAUUAGCAUGGAAUAAUAGAAUAGGACUCGUACCUAUUUUGUUGGUUUGUGAGGGCCGAGUAAUGAUUAAGAGGGACGGUUGGGGGCAUUUGUAUUCCGGCGUCAGAGGUGAAAUUCUUGGAUUGCCGGAAGACAAACCGCUGCGAAAGCGUCUGCCAAGGACGUUUUCAUUGAUCAAGAACGAAAGUAAGGGGAUCGAAGACGAUCAGAUACCGUCGUAGUCUUUACUAUAAACGAUGAGAACUGGGGAUCGGGCGGGCAUUAUGAUGACCCGUCCGGGACCCUCCGGGAAACCAAAGUGUUUGCUUUCUGGGGGGAGUAUGGUCGCAAGGCUGAAACUUAAAGGAAUUGACGGAAGGGCAUCACCGGGUGUGGAGCCUGCGGCUUAAUUUGACUCAACACGGGAAAACUUACCAGGUCCGGACAUAGUGAGGAUUGACAGAUUGAGAGCUCUUUCUUGAUUCUAUGGUUGGUGG
This 657-nucleotide ribosomal RNA is filed under the name Sheathia arcuata. RNAcentral's name for it is "SSU rRNA". It matches the Rfam family "Eukaryotic small subunit ribosomal RNA", at positions 611 to 1280 of the family's 1831-position model. Lineage: Eukaryota; Rhodophyta; Florideophyceae; Batrachospermales; Batrachospermaceae. The record is from RNAcentral.